RNAcentral lists this ribosomal RNA (645 nucleotides) under Salmonella enterica. RNAcentral describes it as "partial 23S ribosomal RNA". It matches the Rfam family "Bacterial large subunit ribosomal RNA", at positions 663 to 1304 of the family's 2925-position model. Lineage: Bacteria; Pseudomonadati; Pseudomonadota; Gammaproteobacteria; Enterobacterales; Enterobacteriaceae. The record is from RNAcentral.
GAGCCGGAGGGAAACCGAGUCUUAACCGGGCGUUAAGUUGCAGGGUAUAGACCCGAAACCCGGUGAUCUAGCCAUGGGCAGGUUGAAGGUUGGGUAACACUAACUGGAGGACCGAACCGACUAAUGUUGAAAAAUUAGCGGAUGACCUGUGGCUGGGGGUGAAAGGCCAAUCAAACCGGGAGAUAGCUGGUUCUCCCCGAAAGCUAUUUAGGUAGCGCCUCGUGAAUUCAUCUCCGGGGGUAGAGCACUGUUUCGGCUAGGGGGCCAUCCCGGCUUACCAACCCGAUGCAAACUGCGAAUACCGGAGAAUGUUAUCACGGGAGACACACGGCGGGUGCUAACGUCCGUCGUGAAGAGGGAAACAACCCAGACCGCCAGCUAAGGUCCCAAAGUCAUGGUUAAGUGGGAAACGAUGUGGGAAGGCCCAGACAGCCAGGAUGUUGGCUUAGAAGCAGCCAUCAUUUAAAGAAAGCGUAAUAGCUCACUGGUCGAGUCGGCCUGCGCGGAAGAUGUAACGGGGCUAAACCAUGCACCGAAGCUGCGGCAGCGACGCUUAUGCGUUGUUGGGUAGGGGAGCGUUCUGUAAGCCUGUGAAGGUGUGUCGUGAGGCAUGCUGGAGGUAUCAGAAGUGCGAAUGCUGACAUA